CCUGGUGACCGAUAGAGAAGGAGUACCGUGAGGGAAAGGUGAAAAGCACCCCGGGAGGGGAGUGAAAGAGAACCUGAAACCCUAUGUUUACAAGCGGUGGGAGCACAAAUAUGGUGCGACCACGUACUUUUUGUAGAACGGACCGGCGAGUUGUGGCAGGAUGCGAGGUUAAGGACCGGGAAGGUCCGGAGCCGGAGGGAAACCAAGUCUGAAUAGGGCGAAAUAGUAUUCUGCUGCAGACCCGAAACCAGGUGAUCUAUCCAUGGCCAGGAUGAAGCGGAAGUAAAAUUUCGUGGAGGUCCGAAUCCACCGUUGUUGAAAAAACGGGGAAUGAGCUGUGGAUAGGGGUGAAAUGCCAAUCGAACCUGGAGAUAGCUGGUUCUCCUCGAAAUAGCUUUAGGGCUAGCCUCGGGAAAGAGACAUGGAGGUAGAGCACUGAAUGGGCUAGGGGGCCGACAAGCCUAUCGAACCCUAUCAAACUCCGAAUGCCAUGGUCUUGAUUUCCGGGAGUCAGACUGCGUGAGAUAAGUUUCGUGGUCAAAAGGGAAACAGCCCAGAUCAACAGCUAAGGUCCCAAAGUACAGGUUAAGUGGGAAAGGAUGUGGGAUUGCACAGACAACCAGGAUGUUGGCUUAGAAGCAGCCAUACAUUGAAAGAGUGCGUAACAGCUCACUGGUCAAGUGGUCCUGCGCCGAAAAUGUCCGGGGCUAAAACCUGUCACCGAAGCUUUGGAUUGUCAUGGAUUAACAUGACAGUGGUAGAGGAGCAUUGUAUACUGGCAGAAGCCAUACCGGAAGGAGUGGUGGACGGUAUACAAGAGAGAAUGCCGGUAUGAGUAGCGAGAGCGAAGUGAGAAUCUUUGCCGUCAAAAGCCCAAGGAUUCCUGAGGAAGGUUCGUCCCCUCAGGGUAAGUCGGGACCUAAGCCGAGGACGAAAGUCGUAGGCGAUGGACAAUCGGUUGAAAUUCCGAUACCACCGACAUCCGCAUGAGAGAAGCAGUGACACAGGAGGAUAGACGGAGCAGGUUGUUGGUAGAGCCUGUUCAAGCAGUGAGUCCGGGAAGCGAGUGAAGUACCGUUUUCCAAAGAUGAGCUGUGACGGGGACCGAAAUUAGAGUAGGGAAGCCGUUGAAUCCACACUGGCGAGAAAAGCUGCUAUCGAGGAUGGAGGUGCCCGUACCGUAAACCGACACAGGUGGGCGGGGAGAGAAUCCCAAGACGAGCGGGAGAACCCUUGUUAAGGAACUCGGCAAAAUGACCCCGUAACUUCGGGAGAAGGGGUGCCUGGGAAACCAGGCCGCAGAGAAAAGGCCCAAGCGACUGUUUAGCAAAAACACAGGUAUCUGCGAACUCGAGAGAGGAAGUAUAGGUGCUGACGCCUGCCCAGUGCUGGAAGGUUAAGGGGAAGUGUAAGAGUGAAAGCGCGAAGCAGAGAACCGAAGCCCCAGUGAACGGCGGCCGUAACUAUAACGGUCCUAAGGUAGCGAAAUUCCUUGUCGGGCAAGUUCCGACCCGCACGAAAGGCGUAACGAUUUGGGCGCUGUCUCAACAAGGGACCCGGCGAAAUUGUAGUACCAGUGAAGAUACUGGUUACCCGCGAUAGGACGGAAAGACCCCGUAGAGCUUUACUGUAACCUGAUAUUGGAUUUUGGCAGGGAAUGUACAGGAUAGGUGGGAGACUGGGAAGCAUGUACGCCAGUAUGUGUGGAGUCAAUGUUGGGAUACCACCCUUUCUGUGCCGGAAUUCUAACCUUGGAGCCGUGAACCGGCGAAGGGACAUUGUCAGGUGGGCAGUUUGACUGGGGCGGUCGCCUCCGAAAGAGUAACGGAGGCGCCCAAAGGUUCCCUCAGAAUGGUUGGAAAUCAUUCGAAGAGUGUAAAGGCAGAAGGGAGCCUGACUGCGAGAGAGACAUCUCG
This 1916-nucleotide ribosomal RNA is filed under the name fermentation metagenome. Its description in RNAcentral is "bacterial LSU rRNA". It matches the Rfam family "Bacterial large subunit ribosomal RNA", at positions 476 to 2391 of the family's 2925-position model. The record is from RNAcentral.